GGUAAGAUGGUCGAAUGCUAGGCGGUAGGCUGUAGUCCUAUUUAUAGGGGUUCAACUCCUCUUCUUACCA
RNAcentral lists this transfer RNA (70 nucleotides) under Sceloporus malachiticus. RNAcentral describes it as "tRNA-Tyr". It matches the Rfam family "tRNA". Rfam says of the family: Transfer RNA (tRNA) molecules are approximately 80 nucleotides in length. Their secondary structure includes four short double-helical elements and three loops (D, anti-codon, and T loops). Lineage: Eukaryota; Metazoa; Chordata; Lepidosauria; Squamata; Phrynosomatidae. The record is from RNAcentral.